RNAcentral lists this ribosomal RNA (406 nucleotides) under uncultured bacterium. RNAcentral describes it as "partial 16S ribosomal RNA". It matches the Rfam family "Bacterial small subunit ribosomal RNA", at positions 30 to 526 of the family's 1533-position model. The record is from RNAcentral.
AUUGAACGCUGGCGGCAGGCCUAACACAUGCAAGUCGAGCGGGCGGCGGACGGGCGAGCAAUGUAUGGGGAUCUUCCUGAUAGAGGGGGAUAACUACUGGAAACGGUGGCCACAACCGCACACUAUCGGCUGAACCCAUAUGGGAUUAGCUAGUAGGUGGGGUAAAGGCUCACCAAGGCGACGAUCUCUACCUGGUCUGAGAGGAUGAUCAGCCACACUGGAACUGAGACACGGCCCAGACUCCUACGGGAGGCAGCAGUGGGGAAUAUUGGACAAUGGGCGAAAGCCUGAUGCAGCCAUGCCGCGUGUAUGAAGAAGGCCUUAGGGGUGUAAAGUACUUUCAGCGGGGAGGCGUUACCCACAGAAGAAGCACCGGCUAACUCCGUGCCAGCAGCCGCGGUAAUUC